GAUGAACGCUAGCGGCAGGCCUAACACAUGCAAGUCGAGGGGUAACAGGAAAGCUUGCUUUCGCUGACGACCGGCGCACGGGUGCGUAACGCGUAUGCAACUUGCCCUCAACUGGGAAAUAGCCCGGAGAAAUUCGGAUUAAUGUCCCAUAGUAUCACAUCACCGCAUGAUGAUGUGCUUAAAGCUUCGGCGGUUGAGGAUGGGCAUGCGUCCUAUUAGCUUGUUGGUGAGGUAACGGCUCACCAAGGCUGCGAUAGGUAGGGGGCCUGAGAGGGUAAUCCCCCACACUGGUACUGAGACACGGACCAGACUCCUACGGGAGGCAGCAGUGAGGAAUAUUGGUCAAUGGACGAAAGUCUGAACCAGCCAUGCCGCGUGCAGGAUGACGGCCCUACGGGUUGUAAACUGCUUUUAUAAGGGAAUAAACCCCCCGACGUGUCGGGGGCUGAAGGUACCUUACGAAUAAGGAUCGGCUAACUCCGUGCCAGCCGCCGCCGUAACAC
This 503-nucleotide ribosomal RNA is filed under the name uncultured bacterium. Its description in RNAcentral is "bacterial SSU rRNA". It matches the Rfam family "Bacterial small subunit ribosomal RNA", at positions 28 to 526 of the family's 1533-position model. The record is from RNAcentral.